UCACCAGAGAAUGGGAUUAACAUCAAAUA
This 29-nucleotide non-coding RNA is filed under the name Mus musculus (house mouse). Lineage: Eukaryota; Metazoa; Chordata; Mammalia; Rodentia; Muridae. The record is from RNAcentral.